UGCCGCGUGCAGGAUGAAGGCCUUCGGGUUGUAAACUGCUUUUGUACGGAACGAAACGGCCUUUUCUAAUAAAGAGGGCUAAUGACGGUACCGUAAGAAUAAGCACCGGCUAACUACGUGCCAGCAGCCGCGGUAAUACGUAGGGUGCAAGCGUUAAUCGGAAUUACUGGGCGUAAAGCGUGCGCAGGCGGUUAUGUAAGACAGUUGUGAAAUCCCCGGGCUCAACCUGGGAACUGCAUCUGUGACUGCAUAGCUAGAGUACGGUAGAGGGGGAUGGAAUUCCGCGUGUAGCAGUGAAAUGCGUAGAUAUGCGGAGGAACACCGAUGGCGAAGGCAAUCCCCUGGACCUGUACUGACGCUCAUGCACGAAAGCGUGGGGAGCAAACAGGAUUAGAUACCCUGGUAGUCCACGCCCUAAACGAUGUCAACUGGUUGUUGGGUCUUCACUGACUCAGUAACGAAGCUAACGCGUGAAGUUGACCGCCUGGGGAGUACGGCCGCAAGGUUGAAACUCA
This 515-nucleotide ribosomal RNA is filed under the name Variovorax sp. MPP_6. Its description in RNAcentral is "bacterial SSU rRNA". It matches the Rfam family "Bacterial small subunit ribosomal RNA", at positions 395 to 903 of the family's 1533-position model. The record is from RNAcentral. Lineage: Bacteria; Pseudomonadati; Pseudomonadota; Betaproteobacteria; Burkholderiales; Comamonadaceae.